RNAcentral lists this ribosomal RNA (473 nucleotides) under uncultured bacterium. RNAcentral describes it as "bacterial SSU rRNA". It matches the Rfam family "Bacterial small subunit ribosomal RNA", at positions 355 to 825 of the family's 1533-position model. The record is from RNAcentral.
UAGGGAAUUUUGGGCAAUGGGCGAAAGCCUGACCCAGCAACGCCGCGUGUGGGAUGAAGGCCCUCGGGUCGUAAACCACUGUCAGGAGGAAAGAAAAGUCGGCCGGAUAAUACUCGGUCGACCUGACGGUACCUCCAAAGGAAGCACCGGCUAACUCCGUGCCAGCAGCCGCGGUAAUACGGAGGGUGCAAGCGUUGUUCGGAAUUACUGGGCGUAAAGCGCGUGUAGGUGGUCGAGUAAGUCGAAUGUGAAAGCCCCGGGCUCAACCCGGGAAGUGCAUCCGAAACUGCUCGACUAGAGUCCCGGAGAGGAAGGCAGAAUUCCCAAUGUAGGGGUGAAAUCCGUAGAUAUUGGGAGGAAUACCGGUGGCGAAGGCGGCCUUCUGGACGGUGACUGACACUCAGACGCGAAAGCGUGGGGAGCAAACAGGAUUAGAUACCCUCGUAGUCCCUGAGCGGGCUGGCAAGGCGCAU